GGUUAAGUUAAUAAGGGCGCACGGUGGAUGCCUUGGCACUAGAAGCCGAAGAAGGACGUGACUAACGACGAAAUGCCUUGGGGAGCUGUAAGUAAGCAAUGAUCCAGGGAUGUCCGAAUGGGGGAACCCGGCAGGUAAUACCUGUCACUCACUACUGUUAAGGUAGUGAAGAGGAAGACGCAGUGAACUGAAACAUCUAAGUAGCUGCAGGAAGAGAAAGCAAAAGCGAUUGCCUUAGUAGCGGCGAGCGAAACGGCAGGAGGGCAA
RNAcentral lists this ribosomal RNA (267 nucleotides) under Streptococcus suis. Its description in RNAcentral is "partial 23S ribosomal RNA". It matches the Rfam family "Bacterial large subunit ribosomal RNA", at positions 1 to 272 of the family's 2925-position model. The record is from RNAcentral. Lineage: Bacteria; Bacillati; Bacillota; Bacilli; Lactobacillales; Streptococcaceae.